Molecule: long non-coding RNA, 5333 nt
Organism: Drosophila simulans
Lineage: Eukaryota; Metazoa; Arthropoda; Insecta; Diptera; Drosophilidae
Exons: 2
Source: RefSeq, a predicted model, not a curated record
CCUCCGAGGAACAGGCUGACAAUGCCACAAGUACUUGCCCUGGUGUGCAUGGCCAAAUCGCUGCACCUGUUGACGAUGGACGGGGGAGCAGGGGCACAAAGUAGUGCUAAAUUCGCUAGAAAUUUUUGCCAGAACUCAGCAGUACCCUCGAUGUUCGCUCUGAUAAAUCUUGAAUGGCGGGAGGGAAACGCUCGAAAGUGUAUAAAUAAAACAAAAUGAAAAUCUAAUUUAAAGCGAGCCAAGGCAGCCGGGCGUCAAUAAUUGCCCUGAACUGAAAUUAUGCUGAAAGAUUAAAGUCAUUUAUUAUAAUUUAUUUAUUUUUGUUUUGUGCUCUGCCGUUGCCAUGCGCUCGUGUGGAUCCCCGACAGGAUUGUUGGUCGUUGGGACGAUGGGGCGAUGGGAGUCCUUCGCAAUUACUUUGAAGUGGCGCACUAGCCGAACUAUGUACUCGCAGGGCCGUGGCGCCCCAUUAAAUUUGCCACACUUCAUUGGCUCGCACAGAAAUAAUAAUUUAUUAUUUAAUUUCGCUCGGACAGCGGCGGCUGCUGUGUACCAGUGUCCGUGGGCGUGGCACUGGGCGAACUUGGUUUAAAGUAAUUAAUUUCGGGAAGUGUCAAAGUUGCUGCAUGGCCACGCCAAACUUUUCGUCUGUCCGCGCAGGAGGAUUGGGAAAUUGGAGCUGCUGGUGGCGAUGGUAGUGGAGGUGGAAGUGGAUCCGGAUGUGGCCGGGGGUCACGACGGCGCUUUUUUAAACCAAUCGAGCACUGCCCGAAAUAUAUGUAUUUACCAUUAAAAACGAGGAAGAACGAAAAAACUCGUCAGCGGAUGCUUCAAUAUCCUGGCAAUUAUAAAUAUAAAUGGGCAUGUCAAUAUAAUUGCUGAACCUCCGUAUAGAAACUUCCGAAUCAAGCUGUCUGAAUUAUUGUGAAUAUAUGUCAACGUUUUCAUAUCAAAUAUUUAUGGUGGAUCUUCGAUCCUUUGUGGAAACCACAGGGAAAUUUAAGCCUAUCUUCAUAAAUAAAAGCAACUAAUAAGAUUACACAUUUUUUAAAUAGCUUUAUUAGAUCAUGCGGCGCUGAUAUAUACUUAACAUGAGCCCAUGGUUAUUUCAGCAAUAAAUAAUUGUUUAUUAUUAAACAAUUACACAAUAAUAGCAGCACACAGUUGGGUGGGUCAUUGUUGUUGUGUAAAAUAACCAACCAUUGACAAGUGGACAAAUUUGACCGUCAUUGAUUUUCACUUUCUGAAUAAUGAAGCUAUUAACUUGUUUAAAAGUUUACAGACUCGCAUAGACUUUAAGUUUUAAAGCGCUAAAGGUCAUGAAUUCCAUGGCCUUUUCCCGAAUGCUUUUCGCAUAUCUGCUGUUUGUUUUUCCGCUUUCGAGUUCUUUUCCGCAGAGCUCAUCUGCAGCUUUUCUGAGCGCUUUUCCUCUGACCUCGCCUUAGGCUACAGUGGCAGCAGCAAGUUAAUUUCCACUCGCGAUUUGCCAGUGGACACUGUGCAUGAAGACGCAGAAUAAAUAAAUUAAAAAAUGUUAAUUAAUUUUUAAUAUGCCGAGUCGUCCCCCCGCCAGCACCGAAAUUCAUCAUCUUCAAAGCUGCAAUUAGCCUUUAAUUUACGAUGUGCCACGCACCCCGAAUAUGUUUCGAAUGUAUUUAGGUGGCUGGAAAAAAUGUUCAUAAAUUAAGGAGGACCCUUUUCGUUCGCUUUUAUCUCAAUGCCUCCUUGCUGCUGCUGCUGCUGCACAAUCAUUUAAAUGCGUAAAUUCUCAUAAGGCAUUUUGUGUAGCAUUUUAUGGCAUACUUAGGUCAGACCCGGGAAUCCUCUUCGCCGGGCGGGGGUGGCCAUUAUUCAAGGUAAUUUAAUUUGAGUAGAAUUGCGGACUUGGCUGGCCAAAAUCGAAGCCUUCUCGACCGAAGCGUCUACGGCCAAGGAGGUGGCGAGAAACCGCAAACGGAAUGGCCAAAACCGAGGCAAAUCCAAACAAAUAAACGCUUGACCCACUCCGGCCAACAAUGAGCAAUGUGCCAAAUGAACGGCCAAAGUUCAGCAACGGGCAACUGGAAGCCAGAAGCUGGAAGCUGCAAACUGAAAACUGGGAACUGGCAACUGAGCUGGCGAAAACAUUUUAAAUGCAAAUGAAGUGCCGCACUUAGGAAGCCGUCAGCUGAGCAAAAAAAUAAAAAAAAGAGUGGUGAACGCUGAGUGCCGUUGAAAAUGGCUGAUAAAUUAGAGAGGGAGCCUGGCACCAUGGCUCGAUUUUAAUAAACUUCAAGCCGAAAAGCAGCAGCAGCUCCAAAGUAUGUCAAAAACUGCCUAAAAGCAAAAAACAUCCCCUCUCAUCUCCUAGCGCCACUCAAUCAAGCCUCGAGCGUCUCCCCUUGAAAUUGCAAAGUUUUGGCAACGGGAUUCAAAACCUUUGCCUGCACAAAAAUAAAAAAAAGUGUCCGUGAAAAGCGCUUAUGGCAUUUGACUGGCCCCCAAACAAUCUAGCAAAUUGAAAUGCUCGUAAAUAUUAAUCAGUGGCCACCGGACAGAUAUCUUCUAGCCUUGGAAAGGCAAAAGCCCGGGAUGGGUCAAGUUGUCAAAACUUUCGCAUACAUUGAGUGGAGCUUAGAUUGUGAUAGACUCUGGGGUUUGUUGCUCAUUUCGAGGAAUUCGCGUGAUUUAUUUGUUGCAUAACUCGGCCCGGACUCCAGCUCAACUGAAGUGGGGCGAAAAACUUGCAAAAUAAAUUGAAAGCAACCAAAGUUUGUCAGUCGCACGCCGACCCACCGACAAACUGGAGCGGAAAAGUUUUGCCCUGCAAGUAAUGUACUGUGGAGGCGCUUGUAAAAAAUUACUUGCAUACUUUUUGGCGCGCUUAUAAUUGUUUUCCAUUCCCGGGUCCCGCCACUUACUCCACCCAGCAUUCAACAUUCUCCAUUCAGCAUCCAGCAUCCAGGAUCCAGGAUUCAGUAUUCUCUGCUACCCAGCAGCAGUUUCCAUAUAACUCAUUAGGCAAAAGUUUAAUGCGAAUCCCCACCAACCGCUCCCAGCUGCGGGAGUUUAUGUUGAGAUUUACUUUAACUACUCUUGCGCCUGCAACUAUGCAAUAAAUUGUGCGAAAUUCUGUGUCCUCCUCUCCGUUCUGCAAUCCAUUCAACCAUGGCAUAGCCCUGACCCACAUUGUGUUGCUGCCGAGUGGGUUAGUGGUGGUCCAAAGUUAUAUAAUAAGCAGCAUUAGCUACACAUGUUCGUGGUAAAUCGCUCCGGGGAGAGGCAGCAGGAUCAGGACUGGCUGCCGGACAUUAUUCAGUGGACGCCGCCGCUGCUCAAGUGCAAGUGCUGCAAAGUCAGAUACUUCCCGCUACCCGCACUGGGUAUAUAUGCCACUCCCCCCACCACACCACCACACCGCCCCCUUUGUCGCCCAGCUGGACUGGACUGUCGAAACUUUUCCAAUCUAAGCUAAAUAAAAGGAAAAGUCUCUCGUGUCUAUCAUGUCAGUAGGUAUUUUAUUAUUUUUAACCUCGACGCGUCCCCACCACCCCAUUAUGCCACCACCCCCACUAACCCCACCACCCACAGCACCGCAACCCACCGCCCCCGCACAGCUGUCGCUCAGUUAACCCACCCACUGAAAAUGCUAGGAGUGCUCGUGCUGUCUUCUGCAACUAAUUUGUCAAUGUCAAGUGUUAUUUCUUAUAUUCUCUCGCUCUUUUUUUGUACUUGUGUUGCCUGAAUUUUUGUGUUGUUUCUGGUUGUGGGACUUGCAAAAGUUUUGCGCACGCACACCCACAACGAGAUACAUCACUCCAGGUCUUCCGCACACACACACACACACACACACACACCAUGCCCCAUCUUUGGCAACCGCGUCGCUGUUGCACGUAAUCUGCUAUAUCAAUGUGGUGUGUGCCUUUAGGCGCUCGUGCAUGGGGAUCUCUCGAAGGCGCUAGACAAAUAUGGACUCGCAUUAACUUUUUAAAAACUCAAGCCCGAAGCUGUUGAUUUCCAGAUAUAACUCUAACAAAGCAAAAGUUGUUUUCAAUAAUUUAUAGAGGAGUUGAACCAAAGAACUGGGACUCACUAGUCUUUCCUUUAUAUUCUCAACAAGUGAAGUUUCAAUUAGUCAAAGACCGCUUAAAAAUGGGUCUCAAGCGAUGAGGCAGGCAAAAGGCGCUGGCAAACUUUUUUGGCAGCUUAUAAAAAUUGUUCAACCAAGAGGACCUGAAGCCUCGAAGGCGGGUGGCACAAACAAAACGAAGACUGCCAUCGGGCGGGCAAUAGUUUUGGGGAACGGGAGCUGCCAACUUCAGUUAACAAUCAGCGUCAGUCGGCAGCCAGGUGACAGUUUUAAGAGGAGGAAGCCCCUGCGCUCGGCGGUGCCUGCCUAAUUGCUGUCUUGCUCCGAAAUUCGCUAAGUAGAUUUUCUUGUAUGGCAUUUUAGCGGAGCAGUACAGUUGACACUUUGUGUCAAAGUUCAUUGCAACAGCAGUCGGUCAGGGGUCGUCGUCAGAUGUCCUUGUUGUCAUUGUUGUUGCGUGCCCACGGCGCAUUUUUCGCCUGCUUCGCUUCUUAUUUAUUUUAUUCCUGCUGUACUUCCUCCACGUUUGAUGCUAAUUAAUUGGAUGGGGUUGGCGGAGGAUCCACUACACCCGCGCUUGUUUGUCAAAUUAAUGGGCAACUGUUCAAGUGCUCAGGAGGAGCUUUAGCAAAAUACUUUUUAGCGGAUUUCAAUGGAAAAUGCCAUAAUUGUAUGGCACUCGAGUGACGUUCGCAUUACAAUUGAAAGGCACAGUGGGCGGAUGGCGACUGGCGGAUGGGGGGCGUGGCAUGACGAGGCAUGUGAGCAAAGGCACAUGUGAGCGCCCCAGCGUAAUCACAUGGCCCAGUGAAUUUAUUGAAUGCCUGGCAAGGACAUAAUACAAUUCAAGUACAAGUAUGUAGAAUUUCGUCAUGCCAGGACAACGCAAAUCCCAAGGAAAUACAAGGACGACGACGAACAGAAGCAGGAGGUGCGCGUAAUUCAAUGUCUAUUAGCCAUAGCGCAACAAUUGCUUUUUACGCUCAUCAACGGCGACACCCAAAAUAAUGCCCCUCAGCCUCAUCAUGUUUCCGAAUCGGAUUUACCCGGCAGGAGGAUGGGGCUUUAUGAUGAUGGCAAUGGCUAUGACGAUGAUGCUGAUGCGGAUGCCGAGCAGCUGCUGGCUGUUUUACAAUAAUGCCGAGCAGAACAAGUAGCGGCACAUAUGCUCCCAGAAAGCAGUAAAAAAAUGCUGUGACAAAAAUUGCCUCGAAAAGUUUAUAAAAAUUAAGCGUGAAAUAUAUAUAUUUACUAAGCUACUGUC